Molecule: transfer RNA, 65 nt
Filed under: Benthonectes filipes
Lineage: Eukaryota; Metazoa; Arthropoda; Malacostraca; Decapoda; Benthesicymidae
Description: tRNA-Ala
Source: RNAcentral
AAAGUUAUAAUCAACGAUGAUAUUUGACUUGCACUCAGAAAGUGCUCCACCCGGAGCUACCUUCA